RNAcentral lists this ribosomal RNA (493 nucleotides) under uncultured bacterium. Its description in RNAcentral is "partial 16S ribosomal RNA". It matches the Rfam family "Bacterial small subunit ribosomal RNA", at positions 30 to 523 of the family's 1533-position model. The record is from RNAcentral.
AUUGAACGCUGGCGGCAUGCUUUACACAUGCAAGUCGAACGGUAACAGGUUAAGCUGACGAGUGGCGAACGGGUGAGUAAUGCAUCGGAACGUGCCCGGUCGUGGGGGAUAACGCAGCGAAAGCUGCGCUAAUACCGCAUACGAUCUGAGGAUGAAAGCGGGGGACCGUAAGGCCUCGCGUGAUCGGAGCGGCCGCUGUCAGAUUAGGUAGUUGGUGGGGUAAAGGCUCACCAAGCCAACGAUCUGUAGCUGGUCUGAGAGGACGACCAGCCACACUGGGACUGAGACACGGCCCAGACUCCUACGGGAGGCAGCAGUGGGGAAUUUUGGACAAUGGGCGAAAGCCUGAUCCAGCAAUGCCGCGUGCAGGAAGAAGGCCUUCGGGUUGUAAACUGCUUUUGUACGGAGCGAAAAGGUCUCCUCUAAUACAGGGGGCUCAUGACGGUACCGUAAGAAUAAGCACCGGCUAACUACGUGCCAGCCGCCGCAGUAA